GGUCCCGUGGAGUAGUGGUUUAUCUCGUCUCCCUGUCACGGAGAAGAUCGCGAGUUCGAAUCUCGUCGGGACCGCCA
Molecule: transfer RNA, 77 nt
Filed under: Solobacterium moorei
Lineage: Bacteria; Bacillati; Bacillota; Erysipelotrichia; Erysipelotrichales; Erysipelotrichaceae
Also listed under: 5 other names
Description: tRNA-Asp(gtc)
Rfam family: tRNA
About the family: Transfer RNA (tRNA) molecules are approximately 80 nucleotides in length. Their secondary structure includes four short double-helical elements and three loops (D, anti-codon, and T loops).
Source: RNAcentral